This is a long non-coding RNA of Neopsephotus bourkii (Bourke's parrot), 879 nucleotides long. RefSeq lists it as uncharacterized. The record is from RefSeq and is a predicted model, not a curated record. Lineage: Eukaryota; Metazoa; Chordata; Aves; Psittaciformes; Psittacidae. The transcript has 3 exons.
AACCAAAUAAUCUCAUGGUGGAGUUACUGCCUUUUCAUCAUCCUGUGCUCUUUCCCCAUAUUUACAGGAUGUGCUUGUAGAUGAGAGAUGAGCCCGAGUCGUGGAACAAAAAAGCCUGCGUUAAUUACAGGCAAGAAUUCUAAUUUGCAGUGGGCAGUAGCAUCAUGAGCACCACACUUGCAUCUAAAUUAAUACUUGUUUCACAGCUAUGACAAGUGCAAAGGUCACAAGCGUAGCAGGAGGAGCCUUUUUGUUCUCAUCCUCCCAGAUGUGGGCUCAAGUACAUUAGCUACACCGUGUUUGUUACAGAAAGUAAUUCCUUCUCACAGUGAACUUUCUACUGUAAACCAUAUGUAAGGUGCCUGGACCCACCUUUUAGGAGUUUCUGUAAAGUCUAAACAGAAGGUCUAAGAAAGCUGCCUAAGAGGGGUAUGACUGAAGUUUGGCAGAACGAACCUCUGUCCUGACAGUGGUGUAGGCUCACUUGGCUGCCAAAUGCUGACUCUGACAUCGUUUGAAAUUCUGAGGUGAGAUGUAUUACUGUCUGGAAGCCAGAGAGCAAAACCUGAAGUCAUCCAUUAAAUUAGGAAAUUCAGUCAGAAAAAAAAGGGCACUAUAAAAGGGGAAUGGCACAUUGCUCUUAAAUCAUUCCAUCUGCUCACAACUUGUCUCAUUUCAUUUCCUAACGCAUCAUUUCAAGUGUCUGCUUUUGCACUCUGUCUUUCCCUUUUGUCACAGCCUGUGUGAAUGACUGUGUUCGUGUUCACAGCUGCCACAUCCAUGAACAGGCUGACCAGAGAAGUUGUGGAUGUCCCAUCCCUGCCACUGUUCAAGGCAAGGGUGAACAGGGCUUUAAGCGAUCUGGUCUAGUGGAAGGUG